RNAcentral lists this ribosomal RNA (253 nucleotides) under uncultured bacterium. RNAcentral describes it as "partial 16S ribosomal RNA". It matches the Rfam family "Bacterial small subunit ribosomal RNA", at positions 524 to 776 of the family's 1533-position model. The record is from RNAcentral.
UACGUAGGGUCCGAGCGUUGUCCGGAAUUACUGGGCGUAAAGAGCUCGUAGGUGGUUUGUCGCGUUGUUCGUGAAAACUCACAGCUUAACUGUGGGCGUGCGGGCGAUACGGGCAGACUUGAGUACUGCAGGGGAGACUGGAAUUCCUGGUGUAGCGGUGGAAUGCGCAGAUAUCAGGAGGAACACCAAUAGCGAAGGCAGCUCGCUGGGACGUUACUGACACUAAGGCGCGAAAGCGUGGGGAGCGAACAGG